Long non-coding RNA from Oncorhynchus keta (chum salmon), 282 nucleotides. RefSeq lists it as uncharacterized. The transcript has 3 exons. The record is from RefSeq and is a predicted model, not a curated record. Lineage: Eukaryota; Metazoa; Chordata; Actinopteri; Salmoniformes; Salmonidae.
GGAAGAGAGAGGUGUACCACAGAGGAAGAGAGAGGUAUACCACAGAGGAAGAGAGAGGUAUACCACAGAGGAAGAGAGAGGUGUACCACAGAGGAAGAGAGAGGUAUACCACAGAGGAAGAGAGAGGUAUACCACAGAGGAAGAGAGAGGUGUACCACAGAGGAAGAGAGAGGUAUACCACAGAGGAAGAGAGAGGUAUACCACAGAGGAAGAGAGAGGUAUACCACAGAGGAAGAGAGAGGUGUACCACAGAGGAAGAGAGAGGUAUACCACAGAGGAAGA